Molecule: long non-coding RNA, 1150 nt
Organism: Erinaceus europaeus (western European hedgehog)
Lineage: Eukaryota; Metazoa; Chordata; Mammalia; Eulipotyphla; Erinaceidae
Exons: 3
Source: RefSeq, a predicted model, not a curated record
UGGUUUCAACAUACUUAUUUUUUAAUUGGUCUUGAUAGAGAGAGAGAGGAGAACAUUUCCCAACUUGGGAAUAAAAUGGCACUGGGAUUGGAGUUAUCAGCAUAGCUUUUUUUUUUUUUUUUUUUGAAAGACACAAUUCAAUCCACAACAAUUUAAUCCACACUUUUACAAGUGUCUCUCCCAUUAGGUUGGUACUAAUCACCCCUUUAACAGUGGGUUUUUUCUUACACAAAUAGUACAGGGGACAUAUCAAGGGAGAGAACAUAAGUAAGCAACGAUGACACGUAAAAAACGAACAAACAAACAAAAUCACUGAGGUAGGAUUUAAAGCCACGGUAGUAUGACAAGAGCAGUUGGCAGGGUUUGGAUAAGUCUGCUGAGCUAUUUCAAAUGAUUCAGGAAGUCACUGAAAAAAAUCUCAAGAAUGUGCUUAUGGCUAUGACUGUGAUUCAUACCUGCCAAAGGUCAGUGGUAAUGUUUUGAGUUUAUUGCUAAUGGACAAACCCAGCCUCCUUCUGAGCCUGACUAGAAGAGUGUCAGUAGGAACAAUAACUCCAGGCCAAAGGCAGAAGAUGUCAAGGAGGAGACGUGAUAGUGGGUGGAGGCCUUUGGCUCAAAGCCUGGAUAGGAUACCUGCUAUCUGUCCUGUCAGGGAGAGUCACGACUUGUUGCCCUCAGUUUGGCCUGGGCGUCGGGCAGGAGCAAGAUGGAACUUAAACACAAAACUGUUCUGUCUAGAGGUGCCCAGGUACAAGGCUCCAGCAUUUGGACUGCAAACUCUUGCCUUUUCUAAAUGGAGUAAUUGGCUUUUGUUGCUGCUCCAACAAGUCUUCUAACUUGAUUCAUAAAUAAACAAAAUCAAGGCCUCUCAGUGUGAUCACCAGGACUCCAAUUCACUUAGGCAAAUCACCAAACACAAAAAGGCUCUGAGCUUUUCUCCAGAUGAUGCUAUGCUGUGUGUGGCAGGACUGCCUUUCACAAUGAACGUCUCAACAGCCAUCCAACUGAAAUCACAGAACCUAACACAGCUCACAGUCUCAGUUCUCUUUCCUUUUAAAGGUAUAUGAAAGGGAGUGGCAUAUGUCACUAUAAAUAAUAGAAACACAUGAAUUUGUAAAAAACAUCAAUAAUAAAGUAGCUAAGCUAUUGC